This 210-nucleotide unclassified non-coding RNA is filed under the name Puccinia convolvuli. RNAcentral's name for it is "ITS2". The record is from RNAcentral. Lineage: Eukaryota; Fungi; Basidiomycota; Pucciniomycetes; Pucciniales; Pucciniaceae.
AAAUCUCUCAUCAAAUUAAUUUUUGAUGGAUGUUGAGUGCUGCUAAUUAUUAGCUCACUUUAAAUAUAUAAGUCCUUUUCUUUAUGAUGGUUUGACUUGGUGUAAUAUUAUUUUUUAAAUUAUCAUCAAGGAAAGUAGUCAUGCUUGCCAACAAUAAAUGAAAAGUAACUCCUAAAGACUUCAUAAUUUAAUUAUGUUUUAUUUUUUAAG